AACUCUUAUCACCACUAAGCAAAACAAUUGUUUUAAGAAAGAAAACUUAAAAGAUAAGAAAUUGUAGUAAACACUGAUAAUGUUUA
RNAcentral lists this non-coding RNA (86 nucleotides) under human gut metagenome. RNAcentral describes it as "PGK RNA". It matches the Rfam family "PGK RNA". Rfam says of the family: mammalian gut metagenomes. Environment (Cow rumen (57)) The record is from RNAcentral.